CCGUCGCGUUCAUACGUCGGCUUUUGCAUCCCCCGCGUUUCUCUCAUUCUCUCGUUGUCGUCGUCGCCGUUAUCGUCGUUAUUCUCAUCGCGAGUGUGUGCUUUUCUUAGAGUGCUUCGAAUAUAUAUAUAUAUAUAUACACAUAGCAUUCAAUUUCAAAUGCUACUGAACUGAAUGGAGACAUUCGUUUCCUUUCCACGGAAAAGCAUCAAUCACUUCCGCUAAUCCAUUCUUGAAUUUUGUCGUAUUCAUCUUCUUCUUAAACGAAAAUUCUCUUGUGAUUGGGCCAAAAAAGCGCGGCAUCGAUGCGUACGAACGUUAAACAGAGAAAGAAGUAUGGAUAAAGGGAAGACGGCAGACGAUUGGAUUUAUCGAUGCAGUCGACUUGAUGUAGGCUGGAAAAGUGCGAAGAGACGUUUUCUUCUUCAGCUGUUCGAUUAUUGAAUGUGUACAUGCUUUGCCGACGACGACAAUACAACAAGCAAGUUUGCGACGACCCGCUUUCUGCGUGAUUGCGUCUUAUUUUUAUAUCAACACGAUAUUCAGCCACUUCCGCAUCCUCCACACCCACGUGGCCGCAUCAUUACCUGAUAAGAGCUGGAGAAGCGGCCGCAGCCGCAGCUGCCUCGGAGCUCUGAGGAGCUGGAGGAUUUGCAAAAGCUGCUGCACUUCCCCGAGGAGGUGGCGCUCAGGUUGGCGGAGACUGAGUACCACUUAUUCUAUCAGGUACCA
Long non-coding RNA from Leptopilina heterotoma, 732 nucleotides. RefSeq lists it as uncharacterized. Lineage: Eukaryota; Metazoa; Arthropoda; Insecta; Hymenoptera; Figitidae. The record is from RefSeq and is a predicted model, not a curated record. The transcript is spliced from 3 exons.